Sinocyclocheilus rhinocerous is the source of this 393-nucleotide non-coding RNA. NCBI's taxonomy places the organism in Eukaryota, Metazoa, Chordata, Actinopteri, Cypriniformes, Cyprinidae. The record is from the annotation of a RefSeq genome assembly.
AUGUUUCUCCUGGUUCUCUUGAUAUUUUCUCCUCUUAAGGAGAAUGCUGAUGCUGAAGUGAUAACACCAUUCCUCACAGAGCAGUAUGUUUUGGCAGGAAAAGAUAUUACUCUUUCCUGCAACUACAGUGGCUAUGUUCAGAAUUUACAGUGGUAUCGUCAGUAUCCCCGAUACAAACCUGAGAACAUAAUUUUUCACACUGAGAGCAACGGUCAUUCAGAGCCCAAGCUUCGUCUGUCUUCUGUGGCCAAUAAAGGAAUUAAGCUUAUGAAUUUGAGCAUAUCUACUACAAAGCUGGAAGAUUCUGCUCUGUACUACUGUGCCCUGCAGCCCACAGUGACAGGAAACACAACUGCACUGUACAAAAACUUUCUUAUGGCCUAUUCUUACUAG